Bos taurus (domestic cattle) is the source of this 543-nucleotide long non-coding RNA. NCBI's taxonomy places the organism in Eukaryota, Metazoa, Chordata, Mammalia, Artiodactyla, Bovidae. The record is from Ensembl.
GAGCCUGGAGAGGUUUCCAGGCAGGAUAAGCAGCCCUAGCAGAGGUCAGAAACAUGGGAAAGAAAUACAAGGGUCCCCUUCUAGUCCUGGGCUUCCUUGAUGGCUUAGAUGGCAAAGAAUCUGCCUGCAAUGCAGGAGACCUGGCUUCAAUCCCUGGGUUGGUAAGAUCUUUUGGAGAAGAUGCUUUGACUCUGGGUGCCUUGCUGACCCUAGAGGGUCUGUCCCUCCCAGGGCUGCCAAGUCCUGGAGGCAGUAAACUCGGUAAAGGCAGGAGCAUAACCUUCAUACACAAACUAACCAGCCCAGACAUGGACACCAUGUAUCCUCUAUCUGGCUCUCACACUCUGGACUGCUUUUCACCCACCCUGCUCACCCUGGCACCGGACAACCAGAGACAGCCCUCACACCCCAGAGACCUCUGAAAUGAUCCAAACCAGCCAGCCCCAGCCUGCUUACCUUGCUCCUCCUGUUCCUCCCCACAGAAACCACAACAAAGGUUAUUAUUGUCAUGUUCUCCUCCAAUUGCCUCUGCCUCCUGACUAA